This 72-nucleotide transfer RNA is filed under the name Cairneyella variabilis. RNAcentral describes it as "tRNA-Asp". It matches the Rfam family "tRNA". From Rfam's summary of the family: Transfer RNA (tRNA) molecules are approximately 80 nucleotides in length. The record is from RNAcentral. Lineage: Eukaryota; Fungi; Ascomycota; Leotiomycetes; Helotiales.
GAGAUCUUAGUUUAAUGGUAAAACGCAAGACUUUUAAUCUUCGCUAUGGGGGUUCGAAUCCCCCCGAUCUUA